GGCCGCCUGGCCGCGGGAUUUCCGUAGGUGAACCUGCGGAAGGAUCAUUCCCUCAACAAAUGAAUCUAAAAACUUUCAACCCGAGUGAAUCCCCCCAACGGUUGUCCCUGCGAUCCCCCGAGGGGUGGGGCCCUUUAACCCGGGCUCUGCUCCUCCUUUUUUUUUUUCCCUCAAAUUCUCACCUUUUAUUCGGACCGACGCCGAACGACCAGUGUAGUAAACACACAAACAAACAAAAUACACCUUUCAACGAUGGAUCUCUUGGUUCUCGCAACGAUGAAGAACGCGGUUAAAUGCGAAAAUGUAGUAUGAAUCGCAGAAUUUCAUGAAUCAUCGACUCUUUGAACGCACAUUGCACCAAAGCAACAUUAGUUGGUUUGGUAUGCUAGGCUGAGUCUCAGUUGUCUACCACAACAGCCUCCGCUCCGGCGGGGGUCUGGACGCUGGGCUUCGGGACCUCGCGGUUCCGUGGCCUGAAACACUGGCGUUCUCGUCGCUGGCCCGACCUUUUGGUUGUGUUCGCUCUUGCGUCGAAAGGGUAGUCUUUACGGCUGCUUUUGAAACCGCGGGCAGACUUCAAAAAACCGAGAAACUGGACAAGCAGCUAGGCGAGGGGGGAGUUGAUGACAAACCCAUCAUCCCAGUUUGAGCUCAGCUCUAUGCAAGACUACCCGCUGAAUUUAAGCAUAUCAAU
This 694-nucleotide ribosomal RNA is filed under the name uncultured eukaryote. RNAcentral describes it as "eukaryotic LSU rRNA". The stretch from base 242 to 400 matches the Rfam family "5.8S ribosomal RNA". The record is from RNAcentral.